UAGGGAAUCUUCCGCAAUGGACGCAAGUCUGACGGAGCAACGCCGCGUGAGUGAAGAAGGUUUUCGGAUCGUAAAACUCUGUUGUUAGAGAAGAACCACCUCUUGAGUAACUGUAAGAGGUCUGACGGUAUCUAACCAGAAAGCCACGGCUAACUACGUGCCAGCAGCCGCGGUAAUACGUAGGUGGCAAGCGUUGUCCGGAUUUAUUGGGCGUAAAGCGAGUGCAGGCGGUUCCUUAAGUCUGAUGUGAAAGCCCACGGCUUAACCGUGGAGGGUCAUUGGAAACUGGGGAACUUGAGUGCAGAAGAGGAGAGUGGAAUUCCAUGUGUAGCGGUGGAAUGCGUAGAUAUAUGGAGGAACACCAGUGGCGAAGGCGACUCUCUGGUCUGUAACUGACGCUGAGGCUCGAAAGCGUGGGUAGCAAACA
This 427-nucleotide ribosomal RNA is filed under the name uncultured Lactobacillales bacterium. RNAcentral's name for it is "bacterial SSU rRNA". It matches the Rfam family "Bacterial small subunit ribosomal RNA", at positions 355 to 774 of the family's 1533-position model. Lineage: Bacteria; Bacillati; Bacillota; Bacilli; Lactobacillales. The record is from RNAcentral.